UCGCGACCCCAGGUCAGGCGGGACUACCCGCU
This 32-nucleotide ribosomal RNA is filed under the name Melampodium northingtonii. RNAcentral's name for it is "partial 26S ribosomal RNA". Lineage: Eukaryota; Viridiplantae; Streptophyta; Magnoliopsida; Asterales; Asteraceae. The record is from RNAcentral.